Molecule: ribosomal RNA, 253 nt
Filed under: uncultured bacterium
Lineage: Bacteria
Description: partial 16S ribosomal RNA
Rfam family: Bacterial small subunit ribosomal RNA
Source: RNAcentral
UACAGAGGUCUCAAGCGUUGUUCGGAUUCAUUGGGCGUAAAGGGUGCGUAGGUGGCGCUGUAAGUCGGGUGUGAAAUUUCGGAGCUUAACUCCGAAACUGCAUUCGAUACUGCGGUGCUUGAGGACUGGAGAGGAGACUGGAAUUCAUGGUGUAGAAGUGAAAUGCGUAGAGAUCAUGAGGAAGACCAGUGGCGAAGGCGGGUCUCUGGACAGUUCCUGACACUGAGGCACGAAGGCCAGGGGAGCAAACGGG